UCCCGCUUUCGCGGGCAGUCCCGUUAGAGUGCCCGGCCGAACCGCUGGCAACUAACGGCGGGGGUUGCGCUCGUUGCGGGACUUAACCCAACACCUCACGGCACGAGCUGACGACGGCCAUGCAGCACCUGUGCUAGGGCUCCCCUCGCGGGGCACCCCAGGCUUUCACCCGGGUUCCCUAGCAUGUCAAGGCCUGGUAAGGUUCUUCGCGUUGCUUCGAAUUAAACCACAUGCUCCACCGCUUGUGCGGGCCCCCGUCAAUUCCUUUGAGUUUCAGCCUUGCGGCCGUACUCCCCAGGCGGCGCGCUUAACGCGUUAGCUUCGGCCCCCAGAAAACCCAGAGACCUAGCGCGCAUCGUUUAGGGCGUGGACUAC
RNAcentral lists this unclassified non-coding RNA (375 nucleotides) under uncultured bacterium. RNAcentral's name for it is "contains 16S-23S intergenic spacer region". The record is from RNAcentral.